This 253-nucleotide ribosomal RNA is filed under the name uncultured bacterium. RNAcentral describes it as "partial 16S ribosomal RNA". It matches the Rfam family "Bacterial small subunit ribosomal RNA", at positions 524 to 776 of the family's 1533-position model. The record is from RNAcentral.
UACGUAGGCAGCAAGCGUUGUUCAGAAUUACUGGGCGUAAAGAGUGUGUAGGCGGUGUUCUAAGUCUGUUGUGAAAUCUCCCGGCUUAACUGGGAGGGUGCGGCGGAAACUGGAAUGCUAGAGGAUGGGAGAGGUAAGCGGAAUUCCUGGUGUAGCGGUGAAAUGCGUAGAUAUCAGGAGGAACACCUGUGGUGUAGACAGCUUACUGGACCAUUUCUGACGCUGAGACACGAAAGCGUGGGUAGCAAACAGG